UGAAAUAGCUCAGUAGGUAGAGCAAUUCACUCGUAAUGAAUAGGUCGCAGGUUCGAUUCCUGUUUUCAGC
This 70-nucleotide transfer RNA is filed under the name bovine gut metagenome. It matches the Rfam family "tRNA". Rfam says of the family: Transfer RNA (tRNA) molecules are approximately 80 nucleotides in length. The record is from RNAcentral.